Molecule: non-coding RNA, 648 nt
Organism: Myodes glareolus (Bank vole)
Lineage: Eukaryota; Metazoa; Chordata; Mammalia; Rodentia; Cricetidae
Source: RefSeq, a predicted model, not a curated record
GGAAAUGGGGGAGCUCUCCUGGACAAUGCAGGGAGUGGGGCUGGGGAUGGGUGGUGCAGACUUUCAGGGAACCUGAAUAAGCAGAGCUAGGGCCACCAGAGUUGGCGUCCUUUGCUUUCCAGGAGGAGAGGAGGGCAUGUCUAUCGUUGUGUGGGUGGAGUACUGUAAAGCACAGGCGGUCAGUGGUCAGCCCCGUGCCGCAGCUGCCAAGAGCAUCCAGGAGGCAGUGCAGGUCCAGGAGUUCUCAGGGAACCACCCUGGUAGGUAGGGAUGGAUUCCUGUGUGGCAGCAAAGACUCCAAAGAAAUUAAUGAAAAGUGAUGCUUCCAGAAGAUGGUGGGGCUCAGAUUAAAGGUGUGUCAUCCAGCCUCGACCUGGAUUAAAGGAGUGUGUUACUCUACCUCAAGAUCCAGAAGAAAGGCAUGUGAGUUGCCUGCCGCAAGAUCCGGAUCACAGAAAAUCCCACAGAUCAGCUCUGAGCAGAGGGACCCUCCAGCCUUGAAGACCUAACUGUUCCUCAGCCUGUCACCUUCCCCAGUCUCUGAACACCAGUGUCCUGCUCCCCAUCCGGUUCAGCCAUUUGGAAGGCCUCUUCGUCUGUGCCGGCAAAAAACCAUGAUGCCCCCAAUAAAAGAUCCAGCUCACUAUA